CUUGGUCAUUUAGAGGAAGUAAAAGUCGUAACAAGGUUUCCGUAGGUGAACCUGCGGGAGGAUCAUUCAUAAUAAGUGUUUUAUGGCACUUUUUAAAUCCAUAUCCACCUUGUGUGCAAUGUCAGGUUGUCCUCUUCAUUUUCUGGAGAGGAUGACCCAAACAUCAACUUAUCCUUGAACUCUUUGUCUGAAAAAUAUUAUGAAUAAAAUAAUUCAAAAUACAACUUUCAACAACGGAUCUCUUGGCUCUCGCAUCGAUGAAGAACGCAGCGAAAUGCGAUACGUAAUGUGAAUUGCAGAAUUCAGUGAAUCAUCGAAUCUUUGAACGCAUAUUGCGCUCUUUGGUAUUCCGAAGAGCAUGCUUGUUUGAGUAUCAGUAAACACCUCAAAGACAUUUCUGAUUUAUUUUCUGGAAUGGCUUUGGACUUGAGCAAUCCCAACACCAGUCCUUUACGGGAUCGGCGGAGGGUUGCUUGAAAUGCAGGUGCAGCUGGACAUUCUCCUGAGCUAUAAGCAUAUCUAUUUAGUCCCGACAAACGGAUUAUUACUUUUGCUGCAGCUAACAUAAAGGGAGUCUGACCGUAUUGGCUGACUGAUGCAGGAUUUCACAGGGGUUGGAAACGACUCUUGUAAAACUCGAUCUCAAAUCAAGUAAGACUACCCGCUGAACUUAAGCAUAUCAAUAAGCGGAGGA
RNAcentral lists this ribosomal RNA (694 nucleotides) under uncultured fungus. Its description in RNAcentral is "eukaryotic LSU rRNA". The stretch from base 223 to 376 matches the Rfam family "5.8S ribosomal RNA". Lineage: Eukaryota; Fungi. The record is from RNAcentral.